AUUGAACGCUGGCGGCAGGCCUAACACAUGCAAGUCGAGCGGAUGAAGGGAGCUUGCUCCUGGAUUCAGCGGCGGACGGGUGAGUAAUGCCUAGGAAUCUGCCUGGUAGUGGGGGAUAACGUCCGGAAACGGGCGCUAAUACCGCAUACGUCCUGAGGGAGAAAGUGGGGGAUCUUCGGACCUCACGCUAUCAGAUGAGCCUAGGUCGGAUUAGCUAGUUGGUGGGGUAAAGGCCUACCAAGGCGACGAUCCGUAACUGGUCUGAGAGGAUGAUCAGUCACACUGGAACUGAGACACGGUCCAGACUCCUACGGGAGGCAGCAGUGGGGAAUAUUGGACAAUGGGCGAAAGCCUGAUCCAGCCAUGCCGCGUGUGUGAAGAAGGUCUUCGGAUUGUAAAGCACUUUAAGUUGGGAGGAAGGGCAGUAAGUUAAUAACUUGCUGUUUUGACGUUACAAACAGAAUAAGCACCGGCUAACUUCGUG
This 484-nucleotide ribosomal RNA is filed under the name uncultured bacterium. Its description in RNAcentral is "partial 16S ribosomal RNA". It matches the Rfam family "Bacterial small subunit ribosomal RNA", at positions 30 to 507 of the family's 1533-position model. The record is from RNAcentral.